CGAGGAUGAACACGACACGAUUUCUGAGGGAUUUCACAAACGCUUCCUUUGUAGUCCUCACCCCGGCUUAAACUCUGUGAUUUUUUUCUCCUCUGUGCCAGAUUUUGCUCAUUCUUGGCAGCUUGGCAGGGCAGAAUGGGCUGGCUGUAGGACCCCAAAGGAAGGAGCGCGACGAGCCACCAGAUGUGUGACCUCCUCACCCUGCUGGCAGCGCUGAACGUCCUUUCCUGUAAACUUCUCUGAGGUUGUAUUUUCCUUUCUUUUCCCAGCCCCCAGCUGCUGGUUAUUAUCAUUAUCAGGCAUAAAUGGCUUCUUUCACACUCCAUAUGGCGAGUGCUCUUAUGAAUAAGAUCUUAGUACCCCAAAAAGGUUUGCAUGAGGUUCAGACAGUGUUUUGCAACUAAAUUAAUAUGAGAAAGGAACAUUAUGAACCCAUCUCUUUUUGUAGGCAAGGGGAUAUUUCCAUAUUAUUGGAUCAAGUAUGUAUGCCAUACAUCUGCAGAGGAAAAAGAGAGUGAGAGUAAGAUCUUUUCUUAGGGGAAAGAAGCUGUUAGGAGCACAGCAAGUUCAAAAAAUGGAGCAGUGGGAAAGUAUUAAGAUCUUGAUUCAAGUUGCAGCCCAUGAGAGACGUUGUCUUUCUACAGCAGUGACAGCAGCUCUCUAAAAAGGAAUCUGACAGAGGGCACCUAUUUCUAGUGCCAGGUGAGAAUACAUGCAUACAUAUCUGACACAAAAAAGGCACUGUAAGAUUCCCCUUACACUGUGGUUUGAAAUUAUCACCCAUCACAUCUAUGCACUAAGGGCAAUCUGGAUGCAAACGCUACUUCUAAUUUGCAUUCGAGGCUGAAAAUAGCUGAAUGCAGGUUAUGGUUACGGGCAUGUGGAUAUCAAAAAGCCUCCAACCGCAUCCUGUUACAACUAAUGGUCUGUGUUUGCAGCACUUUACGUUGGAAUGCCCUCAAAUAUCACGAAGUAAGCAGAGCAGGAUGGCUGGGAGGGAAGGAGAGGGAAGGAUCCUGUGGCCUUGGUAGAGCUCAUUGCAUUGCACUGAUCCCUACCACGGUCAUGGGGUCAGUGUGCUGGACACAGGCAAACUGGAAAAUACACAGACUGAGGCUGAACUCAAAGAAUCAUAGAAUAGUCUGAGUUGGAAGGGACCUACAGAGACCAACGCGUCCAACUCCUGGCUCCACACAGGGCCACCCGAAAUCCAAACCCUAUGUCUGAGAGCAUUGUCCUUGAACUCCAGCUGCUUGGGGCUGUGCCCACUGCACUGGGGAGCCUGUUCCAUGCCCACCACCCUCUGGUACAGAACCUUUGUCUAACCCCCACCUGACCCAACAGGCAGUGCUGUGUAAGGAAGGAAGCACUGGUGUACAACUGUUGUUUUUUUCCUGAGAGGAAUUGUGGAUGUAACUCCUGUUUUGGAAAAUGCAUCCCACCAAAACUUCAAAUAUAGCUUUCAGUGAUCAAGAGGAGGCUCAAUGCAGUCUUCAGAUGUCCUUAAUGCUGACAAAGCUCAGAUUCAGAAAAGUGACCAUGCCCCCAGCCCAAGUGCAAUGAUUUCCCAGUCCCAGUUUUCUGAACAUGUUUUUCCUCAUUUCCAAACUGUUUUGCAGAGGUAUCAGAACGUGCUUAAUACUUGAAAAAAAAUGUGAGCAUCAUGGUCAUUGAACAAGACUUGUCCCCCUUUCCCUUCCUUUUGUUAAAGCAGAAUGAGGUUGCAUGGAGUCUUGUUUACAGUUUCUUACAGUGGGCUCUUUUACUGCCAAUGCCACAAAUGAUGUCAUUUGUUUAGCGGGAGACUGUCUAUUAGAAAUGCCAAAUGUAAUUAGGAUCUUUACUUUCAAUUGCAUUUCAGAAACACUCGUGGUGAGAAAUGGCUGCUACCUUUUGAACUCUCAGCCUAGCAGUGGGAGUUUCCCUGCAAGGGCUGCUGGCAAAGGCUCCAACCUAGGGCGAGAAGAGAUUUCACACGGUAUUUGCAACUCUCCUCCACAUUUGGAAAGUUCAUAAGCUUUCAGCCGGGAGGGCAGUGAUGUCACUGAGAAUAGCUCCUCUCUUGGUGGGGGGAAAAAAAGAAAAAAGAAAAAAACAAAAACCCAAACAUUAACCCAUGGAGAUUGCAGAGCUGAGGCUCUGCUGACUUCAGGUCCUCCAAGCCUGGAAGGAACGGGGCACAGCCUGGCCAGAUGCUGCCAGCUGGUUCUAAGCCAGCGUACUGGGAUCCUACUCCACCCAUGACACUUAGAGAGAAACAAAGGGUGUAAAGGGUGUGUUAGGGACAGGAAGAGGCGUGAUGCUUGUGACUGUACUCCAGCUAUUCUCCACUGUCAGGAGCCCCUGAGGGAGGAGGUGGGAGGAGGCGAGAGGAGGAAGGCCAGGAGCAGAUGGCAUUAAUUUAGCACAGCCCAAGGCUGCCGUGCAAUAUGCUGCUGCUUGGUCCAUGUUUGGAACGAGCCUUAAAACUUGUGUCCCCCUGCUUGUAGGCUACCCUUGUAGCCAUACAACAAGGAGGGGGGAUGAGGGCAUCCAUCUGGACCAGGCCUGGGCCUGGAGCCCUGGCUGACAGCAGCCAAGAUGUCCUUAGCAGGCGGCUAAGCUCUGGGGGCCCAUUCUGGCGCUUGCUGACGUCAAUGGAAACCUUUCUGAUGACUUCAAUAGGCUCUGGAUCAGGCUCCUGACUUCUAAUUGCAAGCAUGCAUGGUUUCUCUCCUUUCUUCUUCUCAUCAGAGAUGUUAAAAAGUGAAUGUGACACCUACUCCUCCACAGCUCUGGCUAUUCAAGCACCUUUCUUAUAGUGAUGAAGGGAGUACAUCAUCAGGGCAAGGUGUAUGUGGAUGGUGUUGAACUUCUGCUGUGUUUUACUGUGAUUUAGCGUCAGCACAUACAGCACUGGAAAUACUACUGCUUGUGGCACACAGCCCUGCCCUCUGCUUUUCCUUUCUCCAGUAAGGACUUGCUGCUCCUCCUGCUGUUCAGCCAUCACCCGUUGAAUUCUAAGCCAAGCAACCUCAAAGGGUUAAUUGUCUUACUUCACUAUUCAAAAAAUACCAUGGCUGUUAAGCACGUAACUCAUGGGUUCUACCAACUCUUCUGCAAAAAUACAAGCAGGUAAACCACCAGAAAGCAGCUUUGUACCACUGAAAAGAAGCUUCACCCAGACCCUCCUGCUGCCUCUGACCCUUCAGUGCCAGUGGAGCCAGCUCCAUGUCCUCCAUCGUCCACAGCCCGCCCACCACCACCUCCUCCAGGGAUUUCUCUGCAGGUUAUUUGAGGAUACGGACACUCGAGUGGAAAUAUGAUGAUGAAGCACCUGUGUUUUGACUAUAUACUCUCUUUUCCUGCUGUUUUUAAUGUUCUCUACAUUCCUGUGUGAUUACUUUUUUCUGUGUUGCCUCUCUUUCAUUGAGCUAGUGAAUGCAAAUCAUUUCUGAGAUGUUAUUAAUUUACUUCCAGCUGAUAAAAUGUCUGUGAGGCAGGAGAGAGCAUGAGUCCUAGCUUGUGUCCUUUGAGCACGAACUACUUGCAGCCAGCAAUCUUGCCCUGCAGUUCACGCUUACUCCUGUAAUAAACAGGUCAAUAGAAGAGUUGCUGAUUUACAUUUUAAAACAUGGAAAAAAAAUAAUCUCAAACUUUGAGAAAAUUGAGACAAAAGGAAGGGGGUUUUGUGGUGUUUUGUUGUUUUUUUUUUUCCCCCAAAGCCACGUAACUGCUGAAAAGGACAAGGGACUGUUGACUCUGUGCUGCAGAAUAUACUGAAUCGCUCUUGCAAAACCCAGCCACUGUGUGGUAUCCUUAACAGGCCAGUCUAGAUUCUUGAUGCAGAACUUUCCAAAAUUUCCUCUUAUUUAUUUAUUUUUAAACCAAAUUUGACAUCAUGUUAUAGAAACUUUGUUAUUGCUCACUAAGGAUUUAGAGGCAAAAGGUUCCUUUCAGUGCUUCCAAUUACAGUAAAUCAAUGAAAACUGAGCACAGGGACAGAUCCAAAGUAUGUUAAUGCUUACUCAAGAAUUCUUGCUGUAAUUUUGGUGCAAUUGCUUCAAUUUACACAGCUACACUUCUGUAUCCACACAGCCAUCUAUUUUAAUCAGCCUUGAUUUUUUUUUUUUCUGCUGGGUCAAUAGGAAAAUACUGUGUUAGCAUUCUUAAGAUAUAUUCUUAGCUAAUGGUGAAAAGUAUUUCCAACUCAGGUCAAGCCACGAGGGAAAUAUUGUUAAUGAACUUUGUCUUUAGGACUUCUAAAUCAACAGAGGACUGCAAAGCCUUGGAGAGAGGGUUCUCAUCUUUCCCUUUACUGAGUGCUAUGCUAUACCCUGGCCAGGCCAUGCUCUGCGAAGCCCCUGGACAAGCUCUUCCCAGCAGGAGCAGCACCAAGUGCAGAUAGAAAACACUUCUGAAGUCGUGCAUCCCAUCUGAUGUUUAAAUGCAAAGAACCUAGGAAGGAUAGUCCUGGAUUACUGCUGCUUACAAGGAAGUGUACUUCUACGGAGGUCCAAAAGCCCUUCUGUACUCGGAAGCUGGGAUGGUUUGGCUUUGCUCUCCUUUAGCACUGAUGCAGCUUCAUUACCACCCAACAGGAAGUGAUGGUUACACUGCUGUCAAACUGGUGGAAAUAACAGGAUUAUCUUUGACUAACCAUGGGGUUUCCCACCUCAGGAACUGGAACAUCCUGAAAUCAUUCUGCUCCCAGACACGUCUUCUUUUUUUCCGUUUAGAUUAAAUAAUAUAUUUAGGGCCUCUGAAUGGCCUUAUGGUCUUCUGAGUGUGAAGCCUGCAAAAACAAGUGGGAAGGAAAAAGGCAGGUGGAGGAAAGGCUCAGCGAGAAGGCAAAGCCCUACCAGCCAAACCCAACUUCUCUUCAACUUACGCAAAGGUAUUUGUCCAUCAAGAGAAAGGUGGGACCCUGGAAAGUCAUUCUAACCAACAUUUUGAAAGUCUAUAAAUUCUGGAGGGACCAGGAAGAGUGCAAACAUUUUGUAAUUAGGGGCAAAACCCUGAGUGCUCCUACAAGUGCACUACAAGAGCACUACAAGUACUGAUAGUGAAGCCUCACUUCACUAUCAGUCCUUGGGGCUCCCUGCCUCUCCCAGCCCCCCCAGCCCAUGUGUGGGAUGCAUUGUGGCUCCCCCAUCUUCUCAACAUAUUUUGCUAUACUGAGCCUUUGUUAAUAUCACUUUUUGUUGACGUAUCUGUAUGGAAAACAGAAAAAUCCACUUUGUUGGAUUUGCUUUUGGUCUGAUUCCCUAAAUUCUACAAGGUGUUACAAAAUCCUGAACAUCUUUCAUUUCAGGUUAAUUGAAGUAACUGAUACAAUAGAACGCAAUUUAUUCUCUUUCAAAUGGAACGGUGGAAAACAGGCAUUAUUUUAUGUCCGCCCUCAGUUUGUCUCAGGAAUAUUUUUGCCAAUGGUAUGAGUUGGUUUACGUUCAAAUUUUUCAAUUAUUCUUUUACUUCUUUUUAAAAUGGUCACUUCUCUGGUGUGCAGAUCAAACAUUAAUGAAGUUUGAAAGGUCUUUUUUUUGAGCAACAUAAAACUUAAUAAAAUAAUUUUGCAUUUUACAGCUUUGGUGAGGAAAAGGUGUUAAUUAAGAGUACCAUGGCAAGAAAACUGCUUUCUGGCUCUGCUUACAAACUGGCUUAUUCUUGUAAAUAAUCAGUCCCACCUAAUUACCAGGCCAUAUUGUAUUUACUAGCAACAGUCAAGCAUUCCCAGACCUCAUAGUUUUAAGUCUGUGAAAUGCUUGCACAUUAUGAUCUCACCUCAUGAUACAGAAUCUCCAUUCAAGUUUAUACAUGACGUGGAAAGUCUCCGAGAUGUACUCCGAGGUGUAAAAUUAGUGUAAUUCCACUGGAAUGAAGGAGACGUGCCAAUUUGUAUCAAGUGAAGCUAUGGGCCACAAUGUCUCAAAGACAUUUGCUUUUGUCUGGCAAACAAGCAAGCAAAGUUCUUCAUUUUAAUGGAAAAUAAUGGGUAAGUUUGUCCUUGGUAAUGUACUGAAGCAGAUCAAAGAUGGAACUGCCUUACAAGGCUCUAUUUCACUAACAGACAAUUAAUACGAUAGUAUCAGGGAAAUGAAUAGCUACUCUGUGCCUCGGUGUUUCCCCUUAUGGACUGUAAAACUGCUCAGUUUAUCAUUUUCUGUCUUUAGGCAAAAAAGGUAACUCUUAUUUGCAUGUUUGUCAGUUUGUACUUGAGAGUACAAAAUUUACUUAAAAACAAGCUCAGCAAGCUAAAUGGAAUGCCAGUGGUCUUAUUAUCCCAAGAGAGCAAAGCACUUAAGCCCGUGAUUAAAAUGAAGUUAAUUGAAUUUAAACAUGCACUUACAGUAAAGCAUAGAACUAAAUACUUCUCUGAAUAGGAAAGAGAUUAUUCUCACACUUAAAUGUAAGCACUAAUAAUAGUUUUGCUAACAUUGAGGUUUAUAGCCUUCUCUCCGCAGUUCCAACUAUCCCACCAAUAAAACCUGGCACCAACAUCAGAGCUUUUCUAAGAAAUUCGUAUCGGAGAAUGAAGAUCAAGGUGUUGCUUAUACAAUAAAUUGGCAGAGCACAUUUGCAAAAAGAACACAUUAAAUUCUGGGUGUGAUGAGUUAUGUAUAAUAAAGGCAGGAAAGAGCUUA
Long non-coding RNA from Gallus gallus (chicken), 6623 nucleotides. RefSeq lists it as uncharacterized. The record is from RefSeq and is a predicted model, not a curated record. The transcript is spliced from 2 exons. Lineage: Eukaryota; Metazoa; Chordata; Aves; Galliformes; Phasianidae.